CCCGCCGGCGACCGGCGCACGGGUGAGUAACACGUAUGCAACCUGGCCGCCACAGGGGGAUAACCCGCGGAAACGCGGCCUAAUACCCCGUGACGCCACCGGAGGGCAUCCUCCGGUGGCCAAAGGAGCGAUCCGGUGGCGGAUGGGCAUGCGGCGCAUUAGCUAGACGGCGGGGUGACGGCCCACCGUGGCGACGAUGCGUAGGGGUUCUGAGAGGAAGGUCCCCCACAUUGGAACUGAGACACGGUCCAAACUCCUACGGGAGGCAGCAG
RNAcentral lists this ribosomal RNA (272 nucleotides) under uncultured bacterium. Its description in RNAcentral is "partial 16S ribosomal RNA". It matches the Rfam family "Bacterial small subunit ribosomal RNA", at positions 84 to 354 of the family's 1533-position model. The record is from RNAcentral.